CGGUGCUGAAGCAACAAAUGCCCUGCUUCCAGGAAAAGCCUCUAAGCAUCAGGUAACACGAAAUCGUACCCCAAACCGACACAGGUGGUCAGGUAGAGAAUACCAAGGCGCUUGAGAGAACUCGGGUGAAGGAACUAGGCAAAAUGGUGCCGUAACUUCGGGAGAAGGCACGCUGACACGUAGGUGAAGUGAUUUACUCAUGGAGCUGAAGUCAGUCGAAGAUACCAGCUGGCUGCAACUGUUUAUUAAAAACACAGCACUGUGCAAACACGAAAGUGGACGUAUACGGUGUGACGCCUGCCCGGUGCCGGAAGGUUAAUUGAUGGGGUCAGCGCAAGCGAAGCUCCUGAUCGAAGCCCCGGUAAACGGCGGCCGUAACUAUAACGGUCCUAAGGUAGCGAAAUUCCUUGUCGGGUAAGUUCCGACCUGCACGAAUGGCGUAAUGAUGGCCAGGCUGUCUCCACCCGAGACUCAGUGAAAUUGAACUCGCUGUGAAGAUGCAGUGUACCCGCGGCAAGACGGAAAGACCCCGUGAACCUUUACUAUAGCUUGACACUGAACAUUGAGCCUUGAUGUGUAGGAUAGGUGGGAGGCUUUGAAGUGUGGACGCCAGUCUGCAUGGAGCCGACCUUGAAAUACCACCCUUUAAUGUUUGAUGUUCUAACGUGGACCCGUAAUCCGGGUUGCGGACAGUGUCUGGUGGGUAGUUUGACUGGGGCGGUCUCCUCCUAAAGAGUAACGGAGGAGCACGAAGGUUGGCUAAUCCUGGUCGGACAUCAGGAGGUUAGUGCAAUGGCAUAAGCCAGCUUGACUGCGAGCGUGACGGCGCGAGCAGGUGCGAAAGCAGGUCAUAGUGAUCCGGUGGUUCUGAAUGGAAGGGCCAUCGCUCAACGGAUAAAAGGUACUCCGGGGAUAACAGGCUGAUACCGCCCAAGAGUUCAUAUCGACGGCGGUGUUUGGCACCUCGAUGUCGGCUCAUCACAUCCUGGGGCUGAAGUAGGUCCCAAGGGUAUGGCUGUUCGCCAUUUAAAGUGGUACGCGAGCUGGGUUUAGAACGUCGUGAGACAGUUCGGUCCCUAUCUGCCGUGGGCGCUGGAGAACUGAGGGGGGCUGCUCCUAGUACGAGAGGACCGGAGUGGACGCAUCACUGGUGUUCGGGUUGUCAUGCCAAUGGCACUGCCCGGUAGCUAAAUGCGGAAGAGAUAAGUGCUGAAAGCAUCUAAGCACGAAACUUGCCCCGA
This 1241-nucleotide ribosomal RNA is filed under the name Salmonella enterica subsp. enterica serovar Typhimurium. Its description in RNAcentral is "partial 23S ribosomal RNA". It matches the Rfam family "Bacterial large subunit ribosomal RNA", at positions 1580 to 2802 of the family's 2925-position model. Lineage: Bacteria; Pseudomonadati; Pseudomonadota; Gammaproteobacteria; Enterobacterales; Enterobacteriaceae. The record is from RNAcentral.